RNAcentral lists this long non-coding RNA (3381 nucleotides) under Sorghum bicolor (sorghum). RNAcentral's name for it is "long non-coding RNA (SBIC_LNC008285)". The record is from RNAcentral. Lineage: Eukaryota; Viridiplantae; Streptophyta; Magnoliopsida; Poales; Poaceae.
CGGUCUAACUUUCAAACUUACCCAUUUUACCUUUAACCAUGGAGCCUUACAGCUUUUGCAUAAGUCUUCAAUAAUCGAAAGAUAGAACAUUCAAGUCAAGCACUAUGUCUCAAAUUCUUCACAGUACCAAUAUUCUAGAGUUUUGCAAGUUUUCAAAAUAAAGCUCAGAGCAUGAUUGUAUGACACCCUCAAGUCUCUUAUUAUGUAGUAUUUAUGGAUCUCACUGAGGCAUUAAUAAUGUCAUGCCUUCCUACAACUGAGGAUAUGUAUAGUGGAGCUUAUAGGAGUAGCCAUAACAAGGAUGAGCAUACUUGCAUUUCAUAUAUUGUAAAGUCAAACAAUGGAUCCACAGAGAAUCAAGGCACACAAUGAAAUCAAGAUAUGCAUGUGUAAGGAAUAUGGUGGAUAGGUGCAUAUAUGAUAUUUAGUGGCUAAUCCUAAUUCUACUUUUGCACUUUGAAAAUAACUCCCUCCAUUAAAAUUUAGAACUUCUCACGGGAAACCAUGGGAUAUCUUUAUUCUUUCUUUCUUUCUAAUCUUUCCUUUCUCUUCUUUUUUUUAAUCUUGGAGGAGGGCAUCUAUGUACCCAUUAUUUUUACUGUUGGGACACUUGUCCAUCUUUUACUUUGACUUUUCUUCUUCUCUUCUUUUCUUCAAAACUUUUGCGUAGCCACAUGCAUCCUUUUAAUAUAAAUAAUUGGAGAGAUAAUGAUAAGAACUUAGAGGAAUUAAAUGAGGGCUGUCCUAUAGGGUAUAUUUUUGGGUGUUUACUCCUAGUGUAGGAGAAAACAUUUUUUUAAGGUGGAUCUCGAUGAAAGUGGAAAUGACUGUGCUUAAAUCCUAGAGUAGGAGUAAGGCAUAUGUGGGUGGAGUGCGUAUGUGAUCUUAAUUUUAAAAGAAUGACAAGACUCUCAUAAAGUAUACUCCAAAGGUUGACUAAACUCAAUGUAAAGCAAGCAGCAUGAAUGUGCAAAGGUUUUCCUAACUCUAAAAGUAUCAUAUAUGGCUUUGGUAGAAAUUUAAACUUCAUACAAUAGCUCAUCAUGUAAUGUUUUGGGUUUUUGAAAAUAAAUCUCCAGUACUUAGUAAUCCUAGGAAUAAGAUAAAUAGUAGCUUAGACCUUCAUGUAUAAUAUCAACUACCUCGACUCAGCUUAAACAUAUGCCUCCACAAAUUUUAGGUUCAGAGUAAAUUCUUAUAUUAAAGUGGUCAGGUCUAAAACUCAGGAGAAUUCAUGGUUGAAAACUAGGCACUUGAAAGGAGUUACUGUAGAGCAACUAUUCAUCAUCUCCAAGACAAAAUUUUAAUAUCCUCUAAUUUUUAUUUUACUCUAAACUAGACUGACUGUAAACAUACUCUAUGAUCACACCUUAAUAUAUAGAUAAGUAUUUUGUUUUUUAUUUUAAUUUAUUACUCAUCUUUUUAUUUCUAUUAGACUCACAGGACUUAAAGACAUAGAUCUUCAUGUGCCCAUAUAUUUUUCGUGUUUUUAUAUUUUGUUAUGAUACUAUUGUGAACCUUCAUUUGCUCACAUAUUUUUGGUAUUUUUGAUGACUGUAUCAAAUAGACUCGAUAAUUGCCUAGGUAUAGUUACGUGAUGACUAGGGGAUGCUCCUCCCCUAAGCUAGAUGUUUGCAAUAGUUGGUGUUUAUGAUCUUCAGAGUGAGCUAACCGACAACGCUCUAGGUGGGUGCCACUAAUAGACUCUCUCCUUGUCAAUAUGUUGUUCCUGCAUAAUUACGCUCAAAACGAAGACCAAAACUCGAGGCUCGAAUUUAAUAAUGGGUUAGUGGUCAGCUAGUAAGUGAUUGAUUGUUCUUUGAGUUGAUUUGAAUUGACACAUUCUAGGAUGAUUCUCUUUUUUUAGAAUUUUCUAGUUUAAUUAUGUAGAAAUUAAAUAUGUGUGCAUGAUAUAUAUAGUUAUAUUUUUAUGCCUCCACAAAGAAUAUUUUUUCUUAUGGGGCUUAGGUUUUUUCAUACUGUGAGAAAGUAAAUACAUGAGCUAUUGUUCUUUGUGCCACCCUAGUAAAUAUUACUAUAUGGUUAUCAUAAGUUUAUUCACGUGGGGCUUUAAAUAUUUUAUGAUGUACUAAAUGAAGGAAUAAAGAUUUAUAUGUUCUUUUAUUUUAUUUUUAAUAUUUAUGAAGAUGAAGAUGUUAAGGUAAAUUUAUUAAUGUAGAUAGAAAAACUAAUUAAAUAUAUAACUACCAUAUUACCUUAUGGCAAGAAUAUAAAUUAUUUUAAAAUUUACCAAAGGACUUCUUCUUCUACUGUGUAUCGUACCAUCUUGUGAGAUGGAGGUCUCGUUAGUUGCAUACCUCUAGUGAUAAUGGUGUCACCUUUGUUCUUUGAUUUGGCCAGCAGGUUGAAGGAGAGUUUUAAUAGUAGGUGGCAGCAUCUUGCUCAUUGUGGAUAUUCACAGAACUUUCACUUGUAGAAUUAAUAAACUUUGCUUGAUGUGUUGUCCUGUUUGCAAAACUAAUGUAAAGAUCAAGUGCAUGGGCUCUGCUGGUGGAAAAACACCAACAAAACCAAAUCUAUUUAUUUAGUUAUUUUUCUCCAUCCUCAGGCACAUUAAACAAGAUAAAGUUGUGUUACAUGAUUUAUUUAUAUAUGAGUGGUAAGAUCAAAAGAUUAAGCAUUUAAUGUUGCAUUUAAGUUCACAUGACAGAAAGGAAUGAAAUUGCUUAACCAAUGGAAUGAUUGUCUAUCUAUAUAUAAAUUUUCAAAUUAGUAUGGCUAUCAUCUUCCCAAGAUUGAUUAUAAUGUUUUAACUUGUUUAGUUAAGACUAAGAUUAAAAGAAUGGUGCCAUGAACAAUUUUAAAGAGCAAAGCAUAUUGAGUUAAUCAAUUUAAGUUGUAACUCUAAUAAGUUUGUGUCUUCACUUAUGUGCACACCAAGAUCAAGAGACGAGAGUGACCACUUAUCUUAGAAUAUUACCUUCAUUAUUAGAGCGUGAUGGCACUAACUGAUGAAUGGUAAAUGACUAGUGGUCCUUCCUCUUGCAUCUUGAGUUGUUUAUAAACAUCUUGUCUCCUCUAUUGCACUCAUUCUUUUGUCAUCUUUCGCUUCUUUAUUCUAUUGACUCUUUUCACUCUAGUCAUUAUUAUGCCUACAACAGAUUAGUGGACAACACAUACCUGAAGGAGUAUAUAAGUUUUUAACAUUCGUUGCUUGUACAGUAUUUUAUUUUGCUCUAUCUAUGCUAAUGAAAAGAUAGUAUUAGUAUUGUUUUAGCAUAGAUCAUGUUUUAUACAGAUAUGGCUCGAGGCAACGUAACUUGUACUAGAAGAUAAAGUGAGUGAAUCACUGAUGUUCACAGUUAUUUCAUUUAUGAUUAACGAGUUGUGUCUUCUUCUACAAAAUUAUCAAAGUUCAUG